RNAcentral lists this non-coding RNA (44 nucleotides) under unclassified sequences. The record is from RNAcentral.
UGGGGAAUGCGGUCUCCCCACGAGGCGAUAUGCCCAAGAAUCGC